This is a long non-coding RNA of Bombus impatiens (common eastern bumble bee), 468 nucleotides long. RefSeq lists it as uncharacterized. The record is from RefSeq and is a predicted model, not a curated record. The transcript has 2 exons. Lineage: Eukaryota; Metazoa; Arthropoda; Insecta; Hymenoptera; Apidae.
UUAUAGGGUUAUGAGAAAUUUAAAAGUAAAAUAUCCUCCAGAAUACAUAUAGUGAUAGCGAUAUACAAAAUACAUACAUAUGUGUAUACGAUUAUACAUUAAUACGAUUACUAUUUGUGGAGAAUCGCGUUGUUUCGUAGCUGUUCAGCGUUUGAAGCGACAGUUCGUUUCGAUAUCAUUCCCGAUUUUGAUUCUCGGCCGCCCAGCUGGCCAUCGCAUGAUUAACGCAAUGAAACGAAAAUGCUGGAACGGAGCAGCCUACGUUUUGUGUUCGAUCGAUUGUCAGGCUACUUUUGCAAAGAAUGUUUCCCAGUAGUGAAAUUCGUUUGCAUCGUCGGAUACGUUCGAUCUUUGAACCGAGGAAGACUGUUCUCGUGAACGAUGCUCGUUCUUCCAUGUGGAUUCCGAAUGCACUAUUAGGAAACAAUUAACAUACGUGCAUUUAACUGCAAUGAACAGAAUUAGCAA